Molecule: ribosomal RNA, 405 nt
Filed under: uncultured bacterium
Lineage: Bacteria
Description: bacterial SSU rRNA
Rfam family: Bacterial small subunit ribosomal RNA
Source: RNAcentral
UCGGGAAUAUUGCGCAAUGGAGGAAACUCUGACGCAGUGACGCCGCGUGCAGGAAGAAGGUUUUCGGAUUGUAAACUGCUUUAGACAGGGAAGAAACAAGACAGUACCUGUAGAAUAAGCUCCGGCUAACUACGUGCCAGCAGCCGCGGUAAUACGUAGGGAGCAAGCGUUAUCCGGAUUUAUUGGGUGUAAAGGGUGCGUAGACGGGAAGGCAAGUUGGUUGUGAAAUCCCUCGGCUUAACUGAGGAACUGCAACCAAAACUAUCUUUCUUGAGUGCUGGAGAGGAAAGUGGAAUUCCUAGUGUAGCGGUGAAAUGCGUAGAUAUUAGGAGGAACACCAGUGGCGAAGGCGACUUUCUGGACAGUAACUGACGUUGAGGCACGAAAGUGUGGGGAGCAAACAGG